RNAcentral lists this ribosomal RNA (253 nucleotides) under uncultured bacterium. Its description in RNAcentral is "partial 16S ribosomal RNA". It matches the Rfam family "Bacterial small subunit ribosomal RNA", at positions 524 to 776 of the family's 1533-position model. The record is from RNAcentral.
UACGUAGGGGGCAAGCGUUGUCCGGAAUUAUUGGGCGUAAAGAGCGCGCAGGCGGUCCGAUGCGUCGUGCGUGAAAGACCCCGGCUCAACUGGGGAGGGUCGUGCGAUACGGUCGGACUCGAGGCCAGUAGGGGGACGCGGAAUUCCGGGUGUAGUGGUGAAAUGCGCAGAUAUCAGGAGGAACACCGGUGGCGAAGGCGGCUCUCUGGGACGGUACUGACGCUGAGACGCGAAAGCGUGGGGAGCGAACAGG